Molecule: transfer RNA, 90 nt
Filed under: Verrucomicrobiota bacterium
Lineage: Bacteria; Pseudomonadati; Verrucomicrobiota
Description: Verrucomicrobia bacterium (groundwater metagenome) tRNA-Ser
Rfam family: tRNA
About the family: Transfer RNA (tRNA) molecules are approximately 80 nucleotides in length. Their secondary structure includes four short double-helical elements and three loops (D, anti-codon, and T loops). Further hydrogen bonds mediate the characteristic L-shaped molecular structure. tRNAs have two regions of fundamental functional importance: the anti-codon, which is responsible for specific mRNA codon recognition, and the 3' end, to which the tRNAs corresponding amino acid is attached (by aminoacyl-tRNA synthetases). tRNAs cope with the degeneracy of the genetic code in two manners: having more than one tRNA (with a specific anti-codon) for a particular amino acid; and 'wobble' base-pairing, i.e. permitting non-standard base-pairing at the 3rd anti-codon position.
Source: RNAcentral
GGAAGGGUGGCUGAGUGGUUUAAGGCACCUGACUCGAAAUCAGGCGUAGGAGCAAUCCUAUCGGGGGUUCGAAUCCCUCCCCUUCCGCCA